Molecule: long non-coding RNA, 268 nt
Organism: Thunnus maccoyii (southern bluefin tuna)
Lineage: Eukaryota; Metazoa; Chordata; Actinopteri; Scombriformes; Scombridae
Exons: 3
Source: RefSeq, a predicted model, not a curated record
UGCCCUUGACGUUGCAGACCAGGAAGACGGGCUCGUUGGGGUUCACCACCUUCUCGCUGAAGGAGGACAGGAUCUUUGGAGUACCGUCUGUGGUGGGGGACAAAGUGGUAGGAGACAGGAAUGCAGUGGUGAAUGCAACACUCCUUGGCCACAGGAGACAGUUGCCUGAGCAACGCUGCCAAGGAUGACUUGCACAAAGUCCUGUGCAGACAUCUUUCCCUUCCUGGCGAAGCACUGGUAGGCUCCGCCGUCACUCUUUGACAUUCCC